RNAcentral lists this ribosomal RNA (690 nucleotides) under uncultured Paracoccaceae bacterium. Its description in RNAcentral is "bacterial SSU rRNA". It matches the Rfam family "Bacterial small subunit ribosomal RNA", at positions 140 to 865 of the family's 1533-position model. The record is from RNAcentral. Lineage: Bacteria; Pseudomonadati; Pseudomonadota; Alphaproteobacteria; Rhodobacterales; Paracoccaceae.
GGAAUAGUCCCGGGAAACUGGGUUUAAUACCGUAUACGCCCUUCGGGGGAAAGAUUUAUCGGUGAAGGAUCGGCCCGCGUCUGAUUAGAUAGUUGGUGGGGUAAUGGCCUACCAAGUCUACGAUCAGUAGCUGGUUUGAGAGGAUGAUCAGCAACACUGGGACUGAGACACGGCCCAGACUCCUACGGGAGGCAGCAGUGGGGAAUCUUAGACAAUGGGCGCAAGCCUGAUCUAGCCAUGCCGCGUGAGUGAUGAAGGCCUUAGGGUCGUAAAGCUCUUUCGCCUGUGAAGAUAAUGACGGUAGCAGGUAAAGAAACCCCGGCUAACUCCGUGCCAGCAGCCGCGGUAAUACGGAGGGGGUUAGCGUUGUUCGGAAUUACUGGGCGUAAAGCGCACGUAGGCGGACUAAUAAGUCAGAGGUGAAAUCCCAGGGCUCAACCUUGGAACUGCCUUUGAUACUGUUAGUCUUGAGUUCGAGAGAGGUGAGUGGAAUUCCGAGUGUAGAGGUGAAAUUCGUAGAUAUUCGGAGGAACACCAGUGGCGAAGGCGGCUCACUGGCUCGAUACUGACGCUGAGGUGCGAAAGUGUGGGGAGCAAACAGGAUUAGAUACCCUGGUAGUCCACACCGUAAACGAUGAAUGCCAGUCGUCGGGUAGCAUGCUAUUCGGUGACACACCUAACGGAUUAAGC